Molecule: ribosomal RNA, 535 nt
Filed under: uncultured bacterium
Lineage: Bacteria
Description: bacterial SSU rRNA
Rfam family: Bacterial small subunit ribosomal RNA
Source: RNAcentral
AUCUUCGGCAAUGGACGAAAGUCUGACCGAGCGACGCCGCGUGUGGGAUGAAGGUCUUCGGAUCGUAAACCACUGUCGAGGGGGAUUAAGGGCAACUUGAAAGAACCCUGGAGGAAGGGGAGGCUAAGCUCGUGCCAGCAGCCGCGGUAAGACGAGCUCCCCAAACGUUAUUCGGUAUCACUGGGCUUAAAGAGUUCGUAGGCGGCGAAGUAGGUGAGGUGUGAAAGCCCUCGGCUCAACCGAGGAACUGCGCUUCAAACCGCUUUGCUAGAGGGAGAUAGGGGUAAGCGGAACAGAUGGUGGAGCGGUGAAAUGCAUUGAUAUCAUCUGGAACACCGGUGGCGAAAGCGGCUUACUGGGUCUUUUCUGACGCUGAGGAGCGAAAGCUAGGGUAGCGAACGGGAUUAGAUACCCCGGUAGUCCUAGCCGUAAACGAUGAGCACUAGUCUGAGGACUUUCACGGUUUCUCGGACGUAGCGAAAGUGUUAAGUGCUCCGCCUGGGGAGUAUGGUCGCAAGGCUGAAACUCAAAGGAA